GCCUCUUGAUUAAACCAUAAGAGGUCCAGCCUGCCCAGUGACAUUGUUCAACGGCCGCGGUAUCCUAACCGUGCGAAGGUAGCGUAAUCACUUGUCCUUUAAAUGAAGACUAGUAUGAAUGGCCCCACGAAAGCUAUACUGUCUCCUUUUUCUAAUCAGUUAAACUAAUCUCCCCGUGAAGAAGCGGGGAUAAACAUAUAAGACGAGAAGACCCUAUGGAGCUUCAAACAACUGAAACACUUGUAUAUCCUCCCCUCACCUGCCAACAUUUAACCUCACAUUUUGUUUCUAGUUUUAGGUUGGGGUGACCACGGAGAAAAAACUAACCUCCACGACGAAAGAGACAUCUCUAAACAAAAAGCCACAUCUUUAUGUAUUAACACAUUAACCUUUAUUGACCCA
Molecule: ribosomal RNA, 402 nt
Filed under: Anomaloglossus baeobatrachus
Lineage: Eukaryota; Metazoa; Chordata; Amphibia; Anura; Aromobatidae
Description: LSU rRNA
Rfam family: Bacterial large subunit ribosomal RNA
Source: RNAcentral